Pleuronectes platessa (European plaice) is the source of this 440-nucleotide long non-coding RNA. RefSeq lists it as uncharacterized. The transcript has 3 exons. NCBI's taxonomy places the organism in Eukaryota, Metazoa, Chordata, Actinopteri, Pleuronectiformes, Pleuronectidae. The record is from RefSeq and is a predicted model, not a curated record.
UGCUCAGCUUCCUCCGGACACCGCGGACACCGCGGACCCCCCGGAGCCUCCCCCCACACCCAACACAGAGCCCCCCACCUUAAAACAAGUGGUCAACAGGAAAACACAAAUCAAAAACUCCCCUCUGGAUACUUUGCGACAGAGACACAAGGGAAAAGCUGUGUUGUCAAAGAAGAAGUUGGAAAAGGAGAAAAAGAAAAACAAUAUAUUCCAACCGAUCUCUGCGGGCACGUGUAGAUCUUCGUGGAGACAACGUCCUCUGACUCACUGGCUGUAUCGCUGUCGCUGGGUCGUCCUCUGCUUGUACCUGUUUGUGCUCUUCUUUGUCAUCACGCUGACGUAUGUUCUGUGGAAGCUUCACUAUGGAACAUUUGAGCCCUGAUCUGUUCUUCUGGAACCAUUCGACUGGACCCGUCUGAAGAGUACGUGUGUAAACCACC